This is a long non-coding RNA of Vicia villosa (hairy vetch), 455 nucleotides long. RefSeq lists it as uncharacterized. The record is from RefSeq and is a predicted model, not a curated record. The transcript has 3 exons. Lineage: Eukaryota; Viridiplantae; Streptophyta; Magnoliopsida; Fabales; Fabaceae.
AGUACCCCCGACAAAUUAAUGGCAUUGAUUGUGGAUAUUUUGUAAUGCGAUUUAUGAAAGAGGUCAUCAUGGAAAAUGAAAUUAUGAUCCCUGCAAAUUACUUUUCUGACCACAAAUGUCGUACCUACUCUCAUGAUAAGUUAACUGCGGUCAAGGAGGAUUGGGCUACCUAUAUGGUGGAUGAUGUUUUCGGAAAACAAGAAGCGGUUAUUUUGCCAGCUAAAUGAUUGUACUUGUGGGCUGAUGCUUUUGGUUAGUGAAGAAUUGGAGAAUUACUUGGUGUUGUUUUGUUGUCGUUUCUUGUUUUUUAGGUGUUUUAUUUAGAGAAUAUGACUUGUUAUUUUGGGAUUUGGAUUAAAGUACUCUUAGAUGGAAUGCAUGUAUCUAUAAAUUUGGCUAUGCAAAUGCCCUCUUAUUUUUAAGUACACUAAAUACCCUCUAUAUAUGUUAUGAUA